Molecule: ribosomal RNA, 253 nt
Filed under: uncultured bacterium
Lineage: Bacteria
Description: partial 16S ribosomal RNA
Rfam family: Bacterial small subunit ribosomal RNA
Source: RNAcentral
UACGUAGGGACCAAGCGUUGUUCGGAUUUACUGGGCGUAAAGGGCGCGUAGGCGGUCUGCCAAGUCCGGGGUGAAAGCCCCCAGCUCAACUGGGGAAGUGCCUUGGAUACUGGUGGACUUGAGGGAGGCAGGGGUUGUGGGAACUUCCGGUGGAGCGGUGAAAUGCGUUGAUAUCGGAAGGAACGCCGGUGGCGAAAGCGCACAACUGGUCCUCUUCUGACGCUGAGGAGCGAAAGCGUGGGGAGCGAACAGG